GCCAGUAUAGCUGAGGUGAAUCAUGUGUCACAUUUUGGCCACCAGCAGUAACCCAGUAAAAUCCGACAAUCCACCAGACAAAUGAAAACAUUGUAUUUGCAGACUCCAGGGGCUUUACAACACUAGUUUCAUCAUCAUUGGCCUGCUCUUCAGCCCCAUAGUACACAGAAUUUCCUCCAUCACUCCCCGAUCCCGAAGUGGAAUCCCCACUUGCCCAAGCCCCAUUGACUCCCAAUCCCACAUUCCUUCCACUACGCCUUCUGUACUCGAAGAUCACACAGGCAAUAUGAAACACACACUGCAAACCGUACCCAAUAAUCCACAGCCUCAACGGCACCUCAGGUUCCUCCUUGACGCUGAGCCCCAACACCACAACAGCAAUCCCCACGAAGGCCAAAUUCCACAACACAUCUAGCACAAUAAUAGGCUUGGAGUAAGCCCAAUCGCUCUGGCGCCCCUCGAGCUGCUCCGCCGCAUUUUCGCGCACCCGGACAGAGGGCUCCCGAAGCAUCAUGCGACGGCUGCUGGCUCGCCGG
Molecule: unclassified non-coding RNA, 536 nt
Filed under: Hevea brasiliensis (rubber tree)
Lineage: Eukaryota; Viridiplantae; Streptophyta; Magnoliopsida; Malpighiales; Euphorbiaceae
Source: RNAcentral